UUAUUGUUGUUGUGUGUAUAUAUAAUUGUGCAUGUGUGGAUGAUAGCACAGAUAUUUUAAAUUAAAGAAAAAAAAGAUCAUAUUUAGUUAAGAAAAAAAAAGCUUACAGAUUAUGUAUUAUAUACUUUGUUGCUAUAGUUAAGAACAGAAAUGUAUGAAUUAUCACAGCCUUGAUCAUUUUUGCCAUUGUUGCUUUGGGAUUUGCAUUCCAGAAAAAUAAAUAUACAGCCUCAAAAUAUUCACACGCUUGAAUUUCAUGCAAUAACAUUUUUAAGGAUGUAUUCCUGAAAUAUUAAUCAGUUCCAUAAAAGAGAUGUAUAGAAACCAAUUUUCAACUGUGAAUAGGGUAUUAUUAUAAGUUUAAAAUAAGGAUCUUAUUCUUAAUUGAAAUAUACUGGCAUAAUAUAAAAUUUAAGAGAACUAACUUUAAAUCACUCUUUAUCAUAAGAAUAAAAUAAUAUUUUUUUUUCUUAAAAACCUAUUAUCUUUCUUUCACCUACUAAACAGUACAGUAUAAUAAAAAAGGUUUUAUAAAACUUGCACAUUAAAGUAAAAAUUGUAAAAAUAAAAAUCAAAAGUAAUGUGGCAUAGUAAAACUCAGACCUAAUCAAAUGACACUUUCAAAGGAAAAUGGUCUUAAUAAAGUAUAAUUAUUAAAGGGAUGAAAGAUAAAUAUGUGAAUGUAACUUUAGCUGAUCUUAAUAGUGUUGAGAUUGAAUUUGGUGAAAGUUAAAAAAUAAUGCUAAAUGUUUUGGUUAAGU
RNAcentral lists this long non-coding RNA (761 nucleotides) under Vigna radiata. RNAcentral's name for it is "long non-coding RNA (VRAD_LNC013785)". Lineage: Eukaryota; Viridiplantae; Streptophyta; Magnoliopsida; Fabales; Fabaceae. The record is from RNAcentral.